UACAGAGGUCCCAAGCGUUGUUCGGAUUCACUGGGCGUAAAGAGUGCGUAGGUGGCGAGGUAAGUCGGAUGUGAAAGCUCGGAGCUCAACUCCGAAAUGGCAUUGGAAACUACCUUGCUCGAGGGUUGGAGGGGGGACUGGAAUGCUUGGUGUAGCAGUGAAAUGCGUAGAUAUCAAGCGGAACACCAGUGGCGAAGGCGAGUCCCUGGACAACUCCUGACACUGAGGCACGAAGGUCAGGGGAGCAAACGGG
Molecule: ribosomal RNA, 253 nt
Filed under: uncultured bacterium
Lineage: Bacteria
Description: partial 16S ribosomal RNA
Rfam family: Bacterial small subunit ribosomal RNA
Source: RNAcentral